This 484-nucleotide ribosomal RNA is filed under the name uncultured bacterium. RNAcentral's name for it is "partial 16S ribosomal RNA". It matches the Rfam family "Bacterial small subunit ribosomal RNA", at positions 28 to 523 of the family's 1533-position model. The record is from RNAcentral.
GACGAACGCUGGCGGCGUGCUUAACACAUGCAAGUCGAACGAUGAACCCGGAGCUUGCUCCGGCGGAUUAGUGGCGAACGGGUGGGUAACACGUGAGUAACCUGCCCUUGACUCUGGGAUAACUGCGGGAAACUGUAGCUAAUACCGGAUACGACCCUCGGCGGCAUCGCCAGGGGGUGGAAAGAAUUUCGGUCAAGGAUGGAAUCGCGGCCUAUCAGCUAGUUGGUGAGGUAACGGCUCAACAAGGCGACGACGGGUAGCCGGCCUGAGAGGGUGACCGGCCACACUGGGACUGAGACACGGCCCAGACUCCUACGGGAGGCAGCAGUGGGGAAUAUUGCACAAUGGGCGCAAGCCUGAUGCAGCAACGCCGCGUGAGGGAUGACGGCCUUCGGGUUGUAAACCUCUUUUAGUAGGGAAGAAGCGAAAGUGACGGUACCUGCAGAAAAAGCACCGGCUAACUACGUGCCAGCCGCCGCAGUAA